UUUUAUGGAGAGUUUGAUCCUGGCUCAGGAUGAACGCUGGCGGCGUGCCUAAUACAUGCAAGUCGAGCGAACUGACGAGGAGCUUGCUCCUUUGACGUUAGCGGCGGACGGGUGAGUAACACGUGGGUAACCUACCUAUAAGACUGGAAUAACUCCGGGAAACCGGGGCUAAUGCCGGAUAACAUGUUGAACCGCAUGGUUCAACAGUGAAAGACGGUUUUGCUGUCACUUAUAGAUGGACCCGCGCCGUAUUAGCUAGUUGGUAAGGUAACGGCUUACCAAGGCGACGAUACGUAGCCGACCUGAGAGGGUGAUCGGCCACACUGGAACUGAGACACGGUCCAGACUCCUACGGGAGGCAGCAGUAGGGAAUCUUCCGCAAUGGGCGAAAGCCUGACGGAGCAACGCCGCGUGAGUGAUGAAGGUCUUCGGAUCGUAAAGCUCUGUUGUUAGGGAAGAACAUAUGUGUAAGUAACUGUGCACAUCUUGACGGUACCUAACCAGAAAGCCACGGCUAACUACGUGCCAGCAGCCGCGGUAAUACGUAGGUGGCAAGCGUUAUCCGGAAUUAUUGGGCGUAAAGCGCGCGUAGGCGGUUUUUUAAGUCUGAUGUGAAAGCCCACGGCUCAACCGUGGAGGGUCAUUGGAAACUGGAAAACUUGAGUGCAGAAGAGGAAAGUGGAAUUCCAUGUGUAGCGGUGAAAUGCGCAGAGAUAUGGAGGAACACCAGUGGCGAAGGCGGCUUUCUGGUCUGUAACUGACGCUGAGGUGCGAAAGCGUGGGGAUCAAACAGGAUUAGAUACCCUGGUAGUCCACGCCGUAAACGAUGAGUGCUAAGUGUUAGGGGGUUUCCGCCCCUUAGUGCUGCAGCUAACGCAUUAAGCACUCCGCCUGGGGAGUACGGUCGCAAGACUGAAACUCAAAGGAAUUGACGGGGACCCGCACAAGCGGUGGAGCAUGUGGUUUAAUUCGAAGCAACGCGAAGAACCUUACCAAAUCUUGACAUCUUUUGACCGCUCUAGAGAUAGAGUUUUCCUCUUCGGAGGACAAAAUGACAGGUGGUGCAUGGUUGUCGUCAGCUCGUGUCGUGAGAUGUUGGGUUAAGUCCCGCAACGAGCGCAACCCUUAAGCUUAGUUGCCAUCAUUAAGUUGGGCACUCUAAGUUGACUGCCGGUGACAAACCGGAGGAAGGUGGGGAUGACGUCAAAUCAUCAUGCCCCUUAUGAUUUGGGCUACACACGUGCUACAAUGGACAAUACAAAGGGCAGCGAAACCGCGAGGUCAAGCAAAUCCCAUAAAGUUGUUCUCAGUUCGGAUUGUAGUCUGCAACUCGACUACAUGAAGCUGGAAUCGCUAGUAAUCGUAGAUCAGCAUGCUACGGUGAAUACGUUCCCGGGUCUUGUACACACCGCCCGUCACACCACGAGAGUUUGUAACACCCGAAGCCGGUGGAGUAACCAUUUUGGAGCUAGCCGUCGAAGGUGGGACAAAUGAUUGGGGUGAAGUCGUAACAAGGUAGCCGUAUCGGAAGGUGCGGCUGGAUCACCUCCUUUCUAA
RNAcentral lists this ribosomal RNA (1557 nucleotides) under Staphylococcus agnetis. RNAcentral's name for it is "16S ribosomal RNA". It matches the Rfam family "Bacterial small subunit ribosomal RNA". Lineage: Bacteria; Bacillati; Bacillota; Bacilli; Caryophanales; Staphylococcaceae. The record is from RNAcentral.